Molecule: unclassified non-coding RNA, 585 nt
Filed under: uncultured Bordetella sp.
Lineage: Bacteria; Pseudomonadati; Pseudomonadota; Betaproteobacteria; Burkholderiales; Alcaligenaceae
Description: partial 16S-23S ribosomal RNA intergenic spacer
Rfam family: Bacterial small subunit ribosomal RNA
Source: RNAcentral
UUCGAUCCUGAAAAGCUCCAGAUUAGACGCUGGCAGGAUGCUUUACAUACAAGUCGAACGGCAGCACGGACUUCGGUCUGGUGGCGAGUGGCGAACGGGUGAGUAAUGUAUCAGGGCUUACGUGCCUAGUAGCGAGGGGAUAACGCGAAAGCGUAGCUAAUACCAUACGCCCUUCAGGGGAAAGCAGGGGGACCUUCGGGCCUCGCACUAUUACGACGGCCGAUAUCGGAUUAGCCGUUUGGUGGGGUAACGGCUCACCAAGGCGACGAUCGCGGCUGGUUCGAAGGACGACCAGCCACGCCUGGGACUGAGACCUGGCCCGAGAAGCUCACUGCAAGGAACAGCAGUGGGGGUGACGGACAAUGAGCACAGUCUGACCAUCCAGUAUGCUGAUAGAAGGCCUUCGGGUUGUAAAGCACUUUUGGCAGGAAAGAAACGGCCUGGAUAAUACCCCGAUGCAACUGACGAAAUACCUGCAGAAUAAGCGCAGCUAACUACGUGCCAGCAGCCGCGGUAAUACGUAAGUGCAAGGCGUUAAUCGGAAUUACUGGGCGUAAAGCGUGCGCAGGCGGUUCCGGAAAGAAA